This 25-nucleotide microRNA is filed under the name Populus trichocarpa (black cottonwood). RNAcentral's name for it is "ptr-MIR478s". Lineage: Eukaryota; Viridiplantae; Streptophyta; Magnoliopsida; Malpighiales; Salicaceae. The record is from RNAcentral.
UUAACGUGUCUCCUAUUUUUAGGGA